RNAcentral lists this ribosomal RNA (253 nucleotides) under uncultured bacterium. Its description in RNAcentral is "partial 16S ribosomal RNA". It matches the Rfam family "Bacterial small subunit ribosomal RNA", at positions 524 to 776 of the family's 1533-position model. The record is from RNAcentral.
UACGUAGGUGACCAGCGUUGUCCGGAUUUACUGGGCGUAAAGAGCACGCAGGCGGUCGUUCAAGUCGAGUGUGAAAGCCCCCGGCUCAACUGGGGAGGGUCACUCGAUACUGAUCGACUUGAAGGCAGGAGAGGGAAGCGGAAUUCCCGGUGUAGUGGUGAAAUGCGCAGAUAUCAGGAGGAACACCGGUGGCGAAGGCGGGUCUCUGGGCCGAUACUGACGCUGAGGAGCGAAAGCGUAGGGAGCGAACAGG